UCUUAGGUGGCUUAGGAGGUUAAAGCGUCUGCCUGCAACGCAGGAGACCUGGGUUUGGUCCCUGGGUUGGGAA
Molecule: transfer RNA, 73 nt
Filed under: Ovis aries (sheep)
Lineage: Eukaryota; Metazoa; Chordata; Mammalia; Artiodactyla; Bovidae
Rfam family: tRNA
About the family: Transfer RNA (tRNA) molecules are approximately 80 nucleotides in length. Their secondary structure includes four short double-helical elements and three loops (D, anti-codon, and T loops).
Source: Rfam by way of RNAcentral